AUCAAAAUCAACAGGGAACCUUGUUAAAAUGCAAAUUUCAGAGUCAGCAGAUCUGGGGGGGUGGGGUCCUGUUUCUGCAUUUCUAACAAGCUCCCAGGCGAUGUUGCU
This 108-nucleotide microRNA precursor is filed under the name Marmota monax (woodchuck). The record is from RNAcentral. Lineage: Eukaryota; Metazoa; Chordata; Mammalia; Rodentia; Sciuridae.